GUAGGUGGCAAGCGUUGUCCGGAAUUAUUGGGCGUAAAGCGCGCGCAGGUGGUUCGUUUAAGUCUGAUGUGAAAGACCCCCGGGCUCAACCCGGGGAGGGUCAUUGGAAACUGGGGAACUUGAGUGCAGGAGAGGAAAGUGGAAUUCCACGUGUAGCGGUGAAAUGCGUAGAUAUGUGGAGGAACACCAGUGGCGAAGGCGACUUUCUGGCCUGUAACUGACACUGAGGCGCGAAAGCGUGGGGAGCAAACAGGAUUAGAUACCCUGGUAGUCCACGCCGUAAACGAUGAGUGCUAAGUGUUCGGGGGGGUUUCCGCCCCUCAGUGCUGCAGCUAACGCAUUAAGCACUCCGCCUGGGGAGUACGGUCGCAAAGACUG
This 378-nucleotide ribosomal RNA is filed under the name uncultured organism. RNAcentral's name for it is "partial 16S ribosomal RNA". It matches the Rfam family "Bacterial small subunit ribosomal RNA", at positions 527 to 896 of the family's 1533-position model. The record is from RNAcentral.